UAGAAAUAGAGAUGAGUCCCAACCCCUGGAGGGCCCAAGUUGCCCCAUGCCUGCUCUAAGUUGUUGUAUUAUUUUUUAUCAUUAGCCUCUUUGAGUCUCGUCUCUCUUUAGAGUGGGAUAAUGACUAAUAUCAAUCAUAACAGAGACCCAAAGCAGCUCACAAGUACUGUAAACAAUACAAUAGGUCCGGAUUUCCAUUAACUGUUGGGUCUGUUUCUGCUUCCUGCUGGAUUAAUUUUAGGGCUCUGAACCUUCUCCAUUGCCUUCACUGCGUUGUUUCCCUCCCUUCCUCCUAAUAAUCGAUGAGAUCUGAGCCUUUCCCUUGCCUGCGUGUCUUCGCUUUCGCCUCACGUCAUAUUUCGGAGGUUUUGGUGCUGAGGUCUUUCUCCCUCCUUCCCUCCCCUUUCCCACUUUCCCUCCCUCCUUGAGUUUUUCCUUUUGAUGUCAAACUCGGAGCUUUGGAGAGCCCGCGUGAGGCUGUCUUUUUUUAACCCCUCUCACGAGGGAGGGAGGGGGCGCGCGCGCCAAAAGCCCCGAGGGCCCGUCCUCCCACGCGCCGAAGCCUCGCACUCACUUCCUUGAUCUCGCCAGCUCUGACUUCAGCAGCUCCCAGUGGGCGGGGCCUCGGGCGCAGGAAGGAGGGGGCUUUCCUGCGCUGACGCAGAGGAAGAAGGCCAUAUAUGGUCAGUUUCUGCCCGGUGACGUUUCCGAGCCGGUCGGGCUCCAUUCCGGGAACCCCCGCCCACGUUGCCAGGCAGAGGCCCGGGACUGGGUCGGAUUUCCAGCCAAAGGGGGGAGGGAGGGAGGGAGUUGUGCGUGAGAGGGCCUUGGGCCGGGAAUGCCCCGUCUCCGCAGACCCACAGGCCCCGGUGGACCUAUUCGAACACGCCAACCCCCCUUCACACGUUCGCGCCGCAGCACUUCCUGACCUUCCUGGGUUGGCUUUCCCAUCACAAGCCCUCUCUGCCGUCAUGGAUGUUUUACUCAAAGUUGUCCGAAACUUCUUUCUUGCAAAACGACAAGCCAAAUGUGGAGGAUCCCCAUUGGUUUAGUUAAAGCAACAUACUGUUGAAACCUUGUUCUGUCCCAGAUGUAAAAAGGAAGAAGACAAUUUGCACUGCCCUGGUGUUAUCGACGGCCUGCUGCCCCCAGAAGUUCCUUGAGAAACUGCGGCAGAGAGGAAUGUGGCCGGAGGGUGUGUGUGCCACAGCUGAUGGCCUCUGAUGGGCACACAUGUUGUGAGAGAGACAGACAGCGCCCUGUCCUGGGCCUCAUGUCACCAUGCCUCUUGUUAAAAGGGGAAAUACAUGGGGGAGGGGAGGGAAAUGGGUUGGUUGUGGUUGUCUGUCCUCAUCUUCCUUCUGUCUAGUUUUUGGAACUGGAGGGUCAGAACUAGCACGAUAAAAGGAUCUGUUUACUACUCUGAUAUUACAACAAAGUUGGGAGGAAAGGAAAACAGGCUACUGUAAAGACAGGAAUAGAAGAAACACAGAGAGGGAUUAAAAGUCAGAAAGGCAAUGUCAUCCUGAAUAAUGGAUGUUAAAGGGAGGGUACUAGAAAAAUAUUAAUAUCCCCCCAAAUACACUGAAUUAUCUGUAAAGUAGAAGCUGAGAAAUGAUGCUUGUUUUGUGUUUGUGUGCAUUACAGGCAGAAUUGCUCAAUAUGUGUUUCUGCUUCAGACUGUACACAGGAGGAAAUUGAUGAGACAAUUACUGUUGUGAAAAACAAGGAUGAGGAAAGGCCAGGAAAUAGAGCAAUAGUUGAAAACAUUUGAGCAUGCUGAAAUAAUUCGUGGUGGUGGAACCCAGUGACAUUUCCCAAAGUAUUCAGUGGGAUAGUUCUCUGAACCAGUCAGUCGUCCUCCACCUCAAUGCGUGGAAACUAGGUGUGGGCUUUCAGAGCUUUUUUGGGACCAUUUAUUCAAUCCCUUGCCAUGGGUUCAGUAUAGCUAUUAACAAUGAAAAACAAGAGGAAAGAGAAGAUACUCAGCUAGAAAUUAUGUGUGUGGUAGAAUUUAGUGUGUGGUUGUUGAAUGCCAGCUUAGGUAAAACAGGAAAGUUUUAUCCACUGCUUAACAAGAAAAUUGGGCAAUCAAGGUGUCUGGGACACAAGCGAUUGAAUUAUCUAAUAAAAUACAGUACUAAUUGAUCAGAUAAUUCAAUAGGCAGAACUCAGCUGGUACAAGGUUGGCUUCUCGGCCCUACUUCUCUGUAUGACACCCUUGAAAGAAAAUGUGAGAAAUUAUCACUACAAAAGAAAAAAUGCAUUUUGAACCCAUAAGUUAACAUAUUAUAAUGUGACAACAGUGACCAGUAAACAUAUAGAUGCUAAAAUAAUUUGAUGGGGAAACAUGUAAUUCCGAGGACAGGAUAAACAUUAAAACCUCAUUACACCCCUUUAUUUUAUUUAUACCUGCCUUUCUUCUGGCACAGUAAGCCAAGGCAGCUUACAAGAAGUUAAAACAAAUACAACCAAUAGAAAAAUAUCCAAACAAAACACUCUUAGAGCAAUUGGCAGAGAAUAAAAAAUCAUGAGAGACAUAUCUAAAAUGUUAUAUCUGUCUGAGCAAACAGUGAUUCACUCCAUGGUUGGAUUAAACAAGGCAAUACAUGGAUUAAACAAGAUAUGGGUUUAAACUACAGGGGAGUAGGUGCAAAUUAAAUCAUAACAGGAAAAAAAAGUAAAAGAGCAGUUUAGUUUUGGAUCGGGUUACUUAGAAAUGUUGUAGAAUUUCUUCCUCUGAGACCUUUCCAGAAAGGUUUAGAUCAAAGAUAGUAAGUAUGUAACCCCCUAAAUGUUGUUGGGUUACAAUUUCCAUUGGUCCAACCAACAUUUUUGAUGGUUGGAGUUUCUGCACUCAAUAAUACCUUGCCUAAUUUUUAUAAUGCCUGAAGUCAAAUUGAUAGCCUUGAUAGACUAUCUCUUUAAAAAUGCCAUUCAGUCUAAACGGAUAAGGUCUGCUCUAUCCAAAAAUGGCCAAAUUUUCCUGCCUUUGUGCCUAUACAUUCUUGGAGCACUACACUUGAAACAUAAAGCCACAAUGUCAUCUCACAGCCCUUUCCGGACAUCUUCAAAUUCCUUUCCUCUCAGUUUAAUUUGCAGAUGCAAUACCUUCAUUAUUAGAUCAGUUUUGUAACAUUUUACUUGAUAUCUGAAGAUAUCUGAAGAUUUUUAAUGCUUGCUUCUAUUUUGUGUCCUUUUGCUACUUAUCUUAUAUGCAGUUUUAAUUUACUAUGGAAAGCAGUGAGUCUACUACUGUAGUUUCAGUAUCAGCCAUAGCCUCCCAUUUGGGCUCCAUUUAUCUUUGGCUAGUUUUCAGCAACACCCUGAGAGAAUCUAAUCUGUGCCAAGACAGGGAUCAAGACUGUCUGAGACGGUGAAACUGUGCAAAGGUGGAACUGUUAACCCUUUCCGUGUGCCACAGCAAGUAUUCAUUCUCUGUUAAAUAUGAAGACUGAAUAUUGUCUCAGCUCCAGAGCAACCAAAUGAUGCUCUCUACUGGCACAAUCAUUGGCUGACACAUUGGCUUUCAAAGUACAGCAGCAUCCCAUACCUGCUGAUCCCCAUGCCAGAUAUUCAGAAGCAAAUGCCAUUUGUUCAAAGAGAAUAAGAAGAACAGACAACAGGCCCGUGAGUAGAAAAAUGUACAAAGGACAGCAGGAAUAGAUUUUUAGUUGUCACCAUCAACGUCAUCCGUUAGUCAAAUGUUUCAGAAGCUGUAGCUGAAUGAAACAGCAUAGGCUUUGUGUACAAGAGGAUUCAGGCUCAAUUGUUGGCACCACCAGGUACCUCUCUGAGAAACAAAAGAACCACUUGACUAUAGACCAACUACAGGUAAACGAGUGUCCUUCAGAUGUUUUAGACUAUGACUCCUAUAAAAUUCAGCAGGUGCCAUACCAGCUGGAGGAUAUAGGGAUUGACAUCCAAAACAGGAAAAGACAGUUGGUUACCUUCUUCUGUUGUAGGCAGUGCUGAACUGGAUGGACUAGGAAUCUAACUACAUAACCUGCUUUCUUGUGUUCUGAGCACCUUGAGAUGUUUCUAUGGUCUUUUGGGGCUGAUGGCAUGGGUUGUAGCCCAGAUGAGUCAGU
Long non-coding RNA from Anolis carolinensis (green anole), 4091 nucleotides. The record is from Ensembl. Lineage: Eukaryota; Metazoa; Chordata; Lepidosauria; Squamata; Anolidae.